This 423-nucleotide ribosomal RNA is filed under the name Xanthomonas sp. RNAcentral describes it as "bacterial SSU rRNA". It matches the Rfam family "Bacterial small subunit ribosomal RNA", at positions 440 to 855 of the family's 1533-position model. Lineage: Bacteria; Pseudomonadati; Pseudomonadota; Gammaproteobacteria; Lysobacterales; Lysobacteraceae. The record is from RNAcentral.
UGGGAAAGAAAAGCAGUCGGUUAAUACCCGAUUGUUCUGACGGUCCCAAAGAAUAAGCACCGGCUAACUUCGUGCCAGCAGCCGCGGUAAUACGAAGGGUGCAAGCGUUACUCGGAAUUACUGGGCGUAAAGCGUGCGUAGGUGGUUGUUUAAGUCCGUUGUGAAAGCCCUGGGCUCAACCUGGGAAUUGCAGUGGAUACUGGGCAACUAGAGUGUGGUAGAGGAUGGCGGAAUUCCCGGUGUAGCAGUGAAAUGCGUAGAGAUCGGGAGGAACAUCUGUGGCGAAGGCGGCCAUCUGGACCAACACUGACACUGAGGCACGAAAGCGUGGGGAGCAAACAGGAUUAGAUACCCUGGUAGUCCACGCCCUAAACGAUGCGAACUGGAUGUUGGGUGCAACUUGGCACGCAGUAUCGAAGCUAA